UAUAGCAUUAAAAUUUAAAGAAAUCAAUAUAACGAAAAAAUGUUGAUUGUUACAAUCUUCAUUCCAUUUAAAAACUUGAUUUUUAAAUCGUGUGUUCUUCAAGUUCUUACGACGCUAAAUCAUGAGAAUGAGUAGAACAGCAACCAUAAAUCCAAAUCUUUCUCCCUUUUGAAAGCGAGUUCUGCCGUUGUUCUGUGAUCAAAGAAAGCAAAAGGUUAGUAAAAUCAUGUAUUUUAUGUGUUUUUUUGCAUGUAAAGUGACAUUUUGAUUGUGAAACUGUUGGUUCAGUUCUGUUUGUGCAUGAAGGAAAACAAUAUAAACAUACCUGUCACAGCAGAUAGUGCAGAGGAGAAUCCAGUAAUGGAGUUCGACAUGAUUGUCAUCUUGAUCUGGUUCUAAUAUAUUUUGAUCUCUAUAAUGUAAAUGAUUAAGAUGGCUAUAGAUUAAAUAUUAAUACGUAAUAUAUUUAAUCUUACAUUCUCCCACUUAGCCGAGUAAUCAUUUACUAUGAGUAUUAGAUAAGCCUGAUCAGGAGUUAACACUCAUUUUAGCCUUAAACAAGUACUAUAGCAGAAAAAUACAGCCGUUGAAUCAUUAUGCGACUCAGGACCCCCAUUAAUCAUACUAUAGCCUUAAUUUAAAACCUAAUCAUCAUGAUCAAAAUACGCGUAAGCCCUUUGUUUGAUUUGUAACUUUUAUUUGUCUAUAUGCCAUUAUACCGGUUGAACAUAUUCUAACAGACAUACAAAAUCAAACUUGAGGAAAAUUAACUAAUACUUAGUCAUUCAUAGUACGAUAUGCGGUUGCGCAUGGCCAUUAAUUAAUACCCGUCUAUGAGCUCUCUUAGUAAGACUUAUGGGUAAUAGCCCUUCAGUUAUAGGAUCCUUAAGCAUAUCAUGAAUGUAUUCGAUACAAAACUUAGUUUCCUCAAUUCGUUCAUAAACGAAUAAUUAAUUGCGUAUCGAAACUUAAUGCAGCACCUCUUGAACUGUUACUGUUCAAGGAGUUAUGGUAGCUGACUUUAUCACACUAAUUCUUCAAAACAUUAUAUGGAGUUAAUAAACUUAUGAGUCCACUGAUUAAAUUUCCAACAACAUUUAGUGACCAUGUUAUGUCGUUAUAACUUAGGUUGUUAAUAUCAGUGCAUUAUGACUCCUCCAUGAAAUAGGUUUUGUCUGCUGACAUAAAGAUAUACCCGAAACUGCAUUUUUAUAAUCUUUGAAUAUCUCAAAGUUAGAGUAAUAAACCGGUUUUAAUUCUCACUUCUUCUUUAAAUUGUAGUCUCUCGUUUCUUUUAAAGAUAUUGUAAUACUCCAUUAGAUGCUACACAUUAAUCUAGACAUAUCUAGUGUGUUGCAAUAUGAGUAAUAUCUAAACGAGUAUAGACUUAAACUUACAUAAGGCUUCUAAUUAAUGAAGCGUAAAUAAAUAAUCUCAUUUAUCCUAUUAUCCUCUAUAGGAGAGCAAUAUUGAUUGUUACAUAUGUAAGGACCCAUUUAAUGUUAAACUUAUGGAACGAAACUAAUAUCCCAUUGGGUCUAUCUCAGUAUGUUAUGAUAUCAAUCACGUAAGAGAUAUCUCUGAGUUUUAUUAUAUCAAAGUUUGUGUUAACAAUGCUUUGACUUAUGUAACAUAUGCUUGUCAAAGAAUGUCAUCUAUAUAGACAAGUUUAUUUUAGUUGCUCCCACUCAUCUUGAGGUAGGUACAUUAAUCCACUUGAUUCUUGAUGAAAAUAAUUACGUUAGCUUUUCAUCACAUUAUGAUGUUUGCAUUAACCCAUACAUGGAUAUUAUUGGCUUACAAAUAAAGUGUUCUUUAACCUUCAGUUUGAAACUUUAGGUUGUUAUCUAAUGAACAUGUAAAUGUGUCAGCCAUUUAUUAGGGAAAAUCGUUUUAAUGUUCAUCUAAUGUAGCUUAAAACUAUUAUAAGCUACUAGAACAGUGAUGAUCCUCAAAGAAAUCUUUUGUUAGAUAUGCAAAAAAGAGUCUUUAAUAACUUAUCUCUUCCUGAGUACAACCUUUGACAAUCAAUCAUGCUUUUGAGUGUCUUAACGCUUAUAUUAGGAUUUGGUUUAGUCAUGAACACUCUUAGGUAACUUAAUCAAAUCCCAAACGUUAUAAGAACACACAAAGUCAGUUUUACUAGAAAACUGUUUUAUUCCAUUCAAAUGAUUGAUUUACACUAAUGGCUUAAUUUGAAGAGAUAGGAUCAGUAAGCAUUUCCAAAAUCCAUUUCAACUUCAAUUAGGGAGGUUAUGUAAUCAUCAAAGUUAGUAGGCUUUUAAACCUAGAUGACCUCCUGAGUUGAUUAUUGGGUUCAUUAGAAGUUUCAAUUUUAUGGAUUAGCUCUUGGUUAGGUUGCUAUCAUUUUCAUUCUAAGUUUGUAAGGGUUGGUGCAGUAUGAUAUACAAGAGGUGUAAUUGGAGUUAAAUUCGGAGUGAAAUUUAAUGACACUCUUCCCCCCGCCUCUUGUAUUCCUUGCAAAUCAUGAUAAGGACUUUGACUGCUCCCACCGAGCUUAGAAAUCUUUAGGAACUCAGCAUGCGUAGGGUCAAUAUGUAACGACCAACAAAAUCUAAUAGAGAAACAAGUUAAUGACGUUAGUCGUUGUAGUUUCUCUUGUUGAGGAUUAUGUUAGUUUAGGUAAGAAAUCUAAGUGCGCCCACAAUUAAGCAACAAUGAAACUUUUGUAAGAGUAGCAUUAGAUUUAGGGAGAUAAGGUUUGAUAGAACAGUGUCGUGAUGGAGCGAUGUCUUGUACAAGAGGUGUAAAUUUAAAAUUUUCAAUCCCCCAUCUCUUGCAACUUUUGCAAGUUAUUAUUAAGACACUUAAUGCUCCCACUGAUCUUUAAUAUCUCUAGAAUGCUACAAGAGAAGUUUCAAUGAGCUACGUGACGUGGGAACCUAUUACAUAUACGUUAGACUUUAUUAGAUUUCUUUAAUGUCCAGAUAUCAGAAGAAACUUUAAGGACAUAUUUAAUAGAAAUCUGAUUAACUACAUAUAUGAAUAGAGUUCUUCUAAGACCGUAGGCCAUAUGCGACAAAAUUUAGAUACAAGUUGAUAGUCUUUCAAAUGAUAAAUGAAUUAUGUCUGAAUAUUCCAUUUGGAAUAAGUUCCACGAAUGUCAAUGAAUGACUUAUGAUGGACCCAUACUUAUUCCUUAAGCCAAGUAAUAUUUAGGGCUGUAACGUCAUGAUUUAGAAUCACUGAAAAUGAGAUUAGAUGAAAAAAAGCAUCCUCAUUAACCAUGUUAUGAUUUCUCAUGAAUUUUGGUUCUAAUGGAUGAAAUUUAUAAGUCUCAUUUUCCUUUUGUCAAAUUCUCAUUAGCAUGAUGACAAAAGUUGUGAAAAAAAUAAGGUAUCAUCUAGUUUCAUCUUAGUAAUGUUUCUAUCCAGAUAUUUAGAACAAAUAAGAUGAGAAUUUAAGAUAAGUGUGACUUUAUGUUGACUAUGCAAACCUCACAACCUUCAUAACAUUGCUUAAUUAUGAUACUAUAUUAUGAUUAAUCAGAAUAUAUAAGGUAUCGAAAAGCGUUGUUGGAAGACUGUUCAUUAUGGUUCUUAUAGUCUUAACAUUUAAUUUUGUCACUAACUCUCAUGUUAGCUAUUUGUCGAGUUCUGGUAAGGAAACGUAUGGAACUAGAGUCAACUAAUCAUGUGUUAAUUGGAAUAUUAAAAUUAUCAGACUUA
RNAcentral lists this long non-coding RNA (3689 nucleotides) under Helianthus annuus (common sunflower). Its description in RNAcentral is "hypothetical non coding rna". Lineage: Eukaryota; Viridiplantae; Streptophyta; Magnoliopsida; Asterales; Asteraceae. The record is from RNAcentral.